GCUGUCGGCUUAUCCCGGCAGCGUAGUUUUAAGCGGGGUUGAAGCUCACAAAGCCUUGACCCCUUUGAAAGUACUGAAUUAUCAGGGGCAUCCGGGCAAGAACCCGGCUAUCGCGGGUCCCGUGGGGCUUACUUGAAGCCGCUUCAGAGCUCAGGCACGCCGUACUGCGGUCUCACGCCGAUGGAGUCCCCUUACCGAGGGUGACCA
Molecule: non-coding RNA, 207 nt
Filed under: uncultured Pseudomonas sp.
Lineage: Bacteria; Pseudomonadati; Pseudomonadota; Gammaproteobacteria; Pseudomonadales; Pseudomonadaceae
Description: sucA-II RNA
Rfam family: sucA-II RNA
Source: RNAcentral